AGUGAACGCUGGCGGUAGGCCUAACACAUGCAAGUCGAACGGCAGCACAGAGGAGCUUGCUCCUUGGGUGGCGAGUGGCGGACGGGUGAGGAAUACAUCGGAAUCUACUCUGUCGUGAGGGAUAACGUAGGGAAACUUACGCUAAUACCGCAUACGACCUACGGGUGAAAGCAGGGGACCUUCGGGCCUUGCGCGAUUGAAUGAGCCGAUGUCGGAUUAGCUAGUUGGCGGGGUAAAGGCCCACCAAGGCGACGAUCCGUAGCUGUCUGAGAGGAUGAUCAGCCACACUGGAACUGAGACACGGUCCAGACUCCUACGGGAGGCAGCAGUGGGGAAUAUUGGACAAUGGGCGCAAGCCUGAUCCAGCCAUACCGCGUGGGUGAAGAAGGCCUUCGGGUUGUAAAGCCCUUUUGUUGGGAAAGAAAUCCAGCUGGCUAAUACCCGGUUGGGAUGACGGUACCCAAAGAAUAAGCACCGGCUAACUUCGUGCCAGCAGCCGCCGUAA
This 505-nucleotide ribosomal RNA is filed under the name uncultured bacterium. RNAcentral describes it as "partial 16S ribosomal RNA". It matches the Rfam family "Bacterial small subunit ribosomal RNA", at positions 29 to 523 of the family's 1533-position model. The record is from RNAcentral.